Molecule: RNA transcript, 2624 nt
Organism: Populus euphratica (Euphrates poplar)
Lineage: Eukaryota; Viridiplantae; Streptophyta; Magnoliopsida; Malpighiales; Salicaceae
Exons: 5
Source: RefSeq, a predicted model, not a curated record
AAAAUCAAAAAUAAAAAAUCAAAUCAUCAUCUUACUACCAAAGACACUUGAAAUACCCAAAAACCUCUCCUUAAUCUCUCCGAACAAACCAAAUUAUAAUAAAUUUCUCUCUAUCUGCAGAUUCUCCUUUUCCGUUCUCUUAUGAGACGGAGAUGAUUUGUUUUCAGCCAAGCAGCACAAAAUCGGUAUGGAUUUUUCUUCCGUCUCCGCCUCCCCUCUCUGCCGCUCACCGCCCCACACUCGCAGUCGUAGAUGGCGUCAGAGUCGGACUUGUACCGCUGUUGUUGUGGUGGCUGCACUUGUGAUUACCACUACAGCCUGGCUGUCUCUUGUUUUCUCCGGCACUACUGCUCGGUGGUGUUGGCAUAGGCUUAAGAACUGGGAAGGCAGUUUGCAUACGCUCCCGUGGAAACCACAAAGUCAGAAUCCAAAUGGGGUUGAGGAAGAAGAUAAAGAUUUUUCUCUUGAAGGAAUUGCUCCGUCUCUUCCAUUAGGAAGAAACAGGAGUCUAUCGGAGGAGGAGAGACGAAGAGAUGGAGCAGGGCUAGCGUUAAAUCAUAUAGUUUUCGGCAUUGCAGGGUCUUCUCAGCUGUGGAAGAGAAGGAAAGAGUUUAUAAGGCUAUGGUGGAGAAAGGAUUCUUCAAUGCGGGGUCAUGUUUGGGUGGAAGAGCAAGUGGAUGAUAAAGAAUGGGAUGAGUCAUUGCCAAGGAUUAUGAUUUCGGAGGAUACCUCUCGGUUUCGGUACACGAAUCCGACCGGACAUCCUUCUGGGCUUCGGAUUGCGCGCAUUGUGUUGGAAACUUUUCGACUAGGUUUGUCUGAUGUUCGAUGGUUUGUUUUGGGAGAUGAUGAUACUAUUUUUAGUGUAGAUAAUUUGGUUGAUGUAUUGAGUAAGUAUGAUUGUAAUGAGAUGGUUUAUAUCGGCGGUCCUUCAGAGAGUCACUCUGCUAAUACUUAUUUUAGUCAUAAUAUGGCUUAUGGAGGUGGCGGGAUUGCUAUAAGUUAUCCUCUUGCCAAGGCGCUUUAUAGUGUUCUUGAUGAUUGUCUUGAGAGAUAUCAUAGGUUAUAUGGAAGUGAUGAUAGACUCCUCGCUUGUAUUUCCGAGCUUGGCGUUCCUUUAUCAAGAGAACAUGGGUUUCACCAGUGGGAUAUCAGGGGUAGCGCUCAUGGUCUUUUAUCUGCGCACCCGAUUUCACCCUUUGUGUCAAUUCAUCAUGUAGAGGCCGUGGAGCCUAUUUACCCUGGGAUGAGCUCUUUGGACAGUUUGAAAUUGUUCGCUAAGGCCAUGAAGGUUGAUCCUAUGAGCUUCUUGCAGCGAUCAAUCUGUUAUGACCAUGCACGCCGCCUAACUUUUUCUGUGUCGCUUGGUUAUGCUAUUCAAGUGUUCCCAAGCAUCGUGCAACCCCGGGUCCUUGAGCGCUCAGAAAUGACUUUCUCUGCUUGGAACAAGAUUCGUAAUCUGAACGAGUUUGAUUUGGAUACUAGGGAUCCCUCCAAAUCUGUUUGUAAGAGUCCAGUCCUCUUCUUCUUAGAAGAUGUGGAAAGACAAGGCAACACUACUCUGGGUACAUAUGUGCGGGCGGGGAGAUUGAAUGAUGAUUUGAAAAGAAAAGUUCUCUGCUUUCCUCGUUCGGCUCCUCUUCCUUAUGUGGGGCGUAUCCAGGCUUUGGGGUAUCCUCUAAAGAACUGGCAUUUGUCACCACGUCGCCUGUGUUGCAAACUGACUCAAACAAGUGAUGGACUCCUUACAAUAUCAGUUAGACAGUGUGGGAAGGGAUCUUUUGGUUCUUUUGCUGAUUCCGUAUGAAAAUGCAUGGUAGCACUUCGUCCACUCGAUAUCAUUAUUGGGGAGAUUACUUCAUGCUUGAAGAAGGCCCUUUCCCUGCCUGUGCUUUAUAUUGUACAGCAUCAUUGUUUGGCUUCCUUCUUGCAACAGUGGUUUGCCGAAUGGCAUCUGGCAUUUUGAAAACCAUGCUAGCUAAUUGCAGAUAUGAGAGUUUCUUUUUUAUGCAGUCGAGUUUAAGAUGAGAUCACAGACCUUCACUUCAUGGACUACAUUCUGUGCCUUCCUUCUUCUUUGGAAGUUUUUCUCUCCUAUGGUGGACCUACAAUGACUUGGAGUUCAUUGCCUUCGGUCAGCUAUUGUUAUGCUAAGAGCUAAAUCAUCCAAUUAAUUCAUUGUGUUUGUUGCCUUAUUGGUCCAAUUACGACCUUAUGGAGUUCAUUAUUCUAAUGCUCUCACACUCUCCAAUUUUGUGUCAUGUUUUCUCCUUGGAAACCUUGGAAGGCUAGGGAUGCAGGGUUUUUGUGAGUGAGAUGAAAGAACAUUUCGAUUGCAUAACUAGCAAAUCAGGUGGGAUUUGUGGCCGAGAACCUCUCUCAGGAACUGGGAGGUUAGCUGCAUUUGAAGUUGCAAGUUGAGUGUGAACUAGUGCAUGCACUGUACAUCCAUUUCAUUAGUGACUAAAGCCAGGGGUUUAAAGUGGCUUUUGAAGGGCCAGAAACACUUCGAUAGCACAGCAAAGCAUUAAGUGCCAUAAGUGCAACUUGUUCAUUCCGAUGGGUGCAAGUCCUUUUAGUUCUAGUGGGAGCUGUCGCCUUGAUAAAGUGGACAAUUAACGAUG